UAAGGAAUAUUGGACAAUGGUCGCAAGACUGAUCCAGCCAUGCCGCGUGCAGGAAGACGGCCCUAUGGGUUGUAAACUGCUUUUGUACCAGAGAAAACCUAUCUACGUGUAGAUAGCUGAUAGUAUGGUAAGAAUAAGCAUCAGCUAACUUCGUGCCAGCAGCCGCGGUAAGACGAAGGAUGCAAGCGUUAUCCGGAUUCAUUGGGUUUAAAGGGUGCGUAGGCGGGCUUGUAAGUCAGUGGUGAAAUCUCUCAGCUUAACUGAGAAACUGCCACUGAUACUGCAGGCCUAGAGUAUAGAUGACGUUGGCGGAAUAUGACAUGUAGUGGUUAAAUACUUAGAUAUGUCAUAGAACACCGAUUGCGAAGGCAGCGAACGAAACUAUAACUGACGCUGAGGCACGAAAGUGCGGGGAUCAAACA
RNAcentral lists this ribosomal RNA (422 nucleotides) under uncultured bacterium. RNAcentral describes it as "bacterial SSU rRNA". It matches the Rfam family "Bacterial small subunit ribosomal RNA", at positions 355 to 774 of the family's 1533-position model. The record is from RNAcentral.